AGGCAGCAUGGGGGAUAUUGCACAAUGGGGGGAACCCUGAUGCAGCGACGCCGCGUGGGUGAAGAAGCGCCUCGGCGCGUAAAGCCCUGUCAGCAGGGAAGAAAAUGACGGUACCUGAAGAAGAAGCCCCGGCUAACUACGUGCC
Molecule: ribosomal RNA, 145 nt
Filed under: uncultured bacterium
Lineage: Bacteria
Description: partial 16S ribosomal RNA
Rfam family: Bacterial small subunit ribosomal RNA
Source: RNAcentral